Molecule: ribosomal RNA, 119 nt
Filed under: Castor canadensis (American beaver)
Lineage: Eukaryota; Metazoa; Chordata; Mammalia; Rodentia; Castoridae
Source: RNAcentral
GUCUAUGGCCAUACCACCCUCAAUGUGCUUGAUCUCAUCUGGUCUCAAAUGCUAAGCAGGGUCAGGCCUGGUAGUACUUGGAUGGAAGACAGAUCUUCAGAAGAAACUGUUCAGAGACU